Molecule: ribosomal RNA, 253 nt
Filed under: uncultured bacterium
Lineage: Bacteria
Description: partial 16S ribosomal RNA
Rfam family: Bacterial small subunit ribosomal RNA
Source: RNAcentral
UACGGAAGGUGCAAGCGUUGUUCGGAAUGACUGGGCGUAAAGCGCACGUAGGCGGGCUUGCAAGUAGGAUGUGAAAGCCCCAGGCUUAACCUGGGAAUGGCAUUCUAAACUACAAGCCUUGAAUGCUUGAGAGGUUGGUGGAAUUCCUGGUGUAGGAGUGAAAUCCGUAGAUAUCAGGAGGAACAUCGGAGGCGAAGGCGGCCAACUGGUGGUGCAUUGACGCUGAGGUGCGAAAGCGUGGGGAGCAAACAGG